This 1112-nucleotide ribosomal RNA is filed under the name Bacillus subtilis. RNAcentral's name for it is "bacterial SSU rRNA". It matches the Rfam family "Bacterial small subunit ribosomal RNA", at positions 51 to 1148 of the family's 1533-position model. Lineage: Bacteria; Bacillati; Bacillota; Bacilli; Caryophanales; Bacillaceae. The record is from RNAcentral.
AUUCAUGCAGUCGAGCGGACAGAUGGGAGCUUGCUCCCUGAUGUUAGCGGCGGACGGGUGAGUAACACGUGGGUAACCUGCCUGUAAGACUGGGAUAACUCCGGGAAACCGGGGCUAAUACCGGAUGCUUGUUUGAACCGCAUGGUUCAGACAUAAAAGGUGGCUUCGGCUACCACUUACAGAUGGACCCGCGGCGCAUUAGCUAGUUGGUGAGGUAACGGCUCACCAAGGCGACGAUGCGUAGCCGACCUGAGAGGGUGAUCGGCCACACUGGGACUGAGACACGGCCCAGACUCCUACGGGAGGCAGCAGUAGGGAAUCUUCCGCAAUGGACGAAAGUCUGACGGAGCAACGCCGCGUGAGUGAUGAAGGUUUUCGGAUCGUAAAGCUCUGUUGUUAGGGAAGAACAAGUGCCGUUCAAAUAGGGCGGCACCUUGACGGUACCUAACCAGAAAGCCACGGCUAACUACGUGCCAGCAGCCGCGGUAAUACGUAGGUGGCAAGCGUUGUCCGGAAUUAUUGGGCGUAAAGGGCUCGCAGGCGGUUUCUUAAGUCUGAUGUGAAAGCCCCCGGCUCAACCGGGGAGGGUCAUUGGAAACUGGGGAACUUGAGUGCAGAAGAGGAGAGUGGAAUUCCACGUGUAGCGGUGAAAUGCGUAGAGAUGUGGAGGAACACCAGUGGCGAAGGCGACUCUCUGGUCUGUAACUGACGCUGAGGAGCGAAAGCGUGGGGAGCGAACAGGAUUAGAUACCCUGGUAGUCCACGCCGUAAACGAUGAGUGCUAAGUGUUAGGGGGUUUCCGCCCCUUAGUGCUGCAGCUAACGCAUUAAGCACUCCGCCUGGGGAGUACGGUCGCAAGACUGAAACUCAAAGGAAUUGACGGGGGCCCGCACAAGCGGUGGAGCAUGUGGUUUAAUUCGAAGCAACGCGAAGAACCUUACCAGGUCUUGACAUCCUCUGACAAUCCUAGAGAUAGGACGUCCCCUUCGGGGCAGAGUGACAGGUGGUGCAUGGUUGUCGUCACCUCCUGUCCUGAAAUGUUGGGUUAAGUCCCGCAACGACCGCAACCCUUGAUCUUAUUUGCCAGCAUUCAGUUGGGCACUUUAAGGGAA